RNAcentral lists this ribosomal RNA (253 nucleotides) under uncultured bacterium. Its description in RNAcentral is "partial 16S ribosomal RNA". It matches the Rfam family "Bacterial small subunit ribosomal RNA", at positions 524 to 776 of the family's 1533-position model. The record is from RNAcentral.
UACGGAGGGAGCUAGCGUUGUUCGGAAUUACUGGGCGUAAAGCGCACGUAGGCGGCUUUGUAAGUUAGAGGUGAAAGCCCGGGGCUCAACUCCGGAACUGCCUUUAAGACUGCAUCGCUUGAAUCCGGGAGAGGGAUGUGGAAUUCCAGGUGUAGCGGUGAAAUGCGUAGAUAUCUGGAGGAACAUCGGUGGCGAAGGCGGCAUCCUGGACCGGUAUUGACGCUGAGGCGCGAAAGCCAGGGGAGCAAACGGG